GAUGAACGCUGGCGGCGUGCCUAAUACAUGCAAGUCGAGCGAACGGACGAGAAGCUUGCUUCUCUGAUGUUAGCGGCGGACGGGUGAGUAACACGUGGAUAACCUACCUAUAAGACUGGGAUAACUUCGGGAAACCGUGGCUAAUACCGGAUAAUAUUUUGAACCGCAUGGUUCAAAAGUGAAAGACGGUCUUGCUGUCACUUAUAGAUGGAUCCGCGCUGCAUUAGCUAGUUGGUAAGGUAACGGCUUACCAAGGCAACGAUGCAUAGCCGACCUGAGAGGGUGAUCGGCCACACCGGAACUGAGACACGGUCCAGACUCCUACGGGAGGCAGCAGUAGGGAAUCUUCCGCAAUGGGCGAAAGCCUGACGGAGCAACGCCGCGUGAGUGAUGAAGGUCUUCGGAUCGUAAAACUCUGUUAUUAGGGAAGAACAUAUGUGUAAGUAACUGUGCACAUCUUGACGGUACCUAAUCAGAAAGCCACGGCUAACUACGUG
This 497-nucleotide ribosomal RNA is filed under the name uncultured bacterium. Its description in RNAcentral is "partial 16S ribosomal RNA". It matches the Rfam family "Bacterial small subunit ribosomal RNA", at positions 28 to 507 of the family's 1533-position model. The record is from RNAcentral.